Long non-coding RNA from Cyprinus carpio (common carp), 1715 nucleotides. The record is from Ensembl. Lineage: Eukaryota; Metazoa; Chordata; Actinopteri; Cypriniformes; Cyprinidae.
GUCCAAUACUUUUCCUGGGAAAGUGCUCUUUUGCCUUUCGAAAAGUAAAAAACCAUAUUGUAAAUGCAUUAACAUUCCAGAUAUAAGCAAAUGCAAGAAGGUGUUGGAUGUUUGGGAGAAUUUCUUGAUAAGAGAAAUGAUGAUUGAAAUCUUGAAAUCCCCGUUAACUGAUAUAAGAGACUAAACAUUGUUUAGUACAAGAAGAUAAUAAAAGAGGGAGGAACAAAAUCUGCCAUAGAGUGAGUAAGCAACUACAUGCUGUCAGCUUGGAGAAAAUUCCCCUGUUCAUAGUCAGAGUGUAGCCCGAGAACACUUUCAUUACCACUUUCUUCUUCCACACAGCACACAGCACACAUCUAACCACUUCCAGCAUUAUUCUGAAAGGGGGAAAAAAGAUGUUCGCCAUUAUGCCAUUUUUAAUUAUCGUCCUGUCAUCAGACUACACCAAAGGUGAAAUAGAGCUGCGUGCUGUCAAACACCAGACAGUGAAUUGCAAUGAGAGGACUGUCUUACAAUGCAUUAUCAGCUCAUCAAUGCCAUUGAGCAUUGUUAAAGUAUACUGGAAAAAAACAGAAGACAAAGAUUUUGAAUGUGAUCCAACAUCCAGCAAUAGACCUCCAGGAUUUGAGUGCAACUACACAGGAGAAGCACUGACAUUAACCAUCUCAAAUCCUACACCAGCAAACAUGGGCUCGUAUUUUUGUUGUAUAAAGGCAGACUCUGGACAUGGAGCAAAAGAAAUCAAUGUAUCUAUAGGACAAUGCACCGGAGAAUUCUCCCACCAGAUGCCUGAACCCAAACAAAUGCAGUGUAGCUUUAAUGGUGUGUACCCAGAGGGCAUGAUAAACUGGUUUCAUUAUGACAAGAACCUGACUUCCAGCUCUACAGUCACAAGUCUGGUGAACUCUGAUGGAACGUUCAGCAUCACAAGUGUCCUAAACAUCCAGGACGAUCAAGAGAAAUAUAAAUGCUCACUGUGGUCUCUCAAACACGGAAAAUACCUUAAAGAUCAAGAGUUUGAAGUACCAGUUCAUGCUGAUUCCAGGCCCAUUAGCAGAGUCAGCACACAGCAUUGUUUGUCAUGGACUCUUAUCUUUCUUUGCCUGAUGUUUUGAUUGAAAGCCUGUUUGUCUCCAACUAUCUAAGACAUGGCCACAGGAUACAGUAGUGAACUGACAACUGACCCACAGCUUCUCUCUUACUGCAUUAUGACUAUUAAUUGCACUGACAUGAAAAACCCAAACUAUUUCAAACUGCAUUUUGCAAAUGUUCUCAAUUAAUCAAUCUCAAAUGAAUUUAAAGACUACUGAAUAUAAAAAUGAUGAAAAGCUUAGUUAUUUUAGUAUCAUUGAGACACUCUUGUCGUUUUUAUUAAAUAGUAUAUAUUAGUUUUGUGUGUGAAUGUUUUAUAUACUGUAGUUUUUAUUAAUGUAAUCUAUAUAAUUUGUAUUAUUUUUUAUUAUUAUUUUAAAGUUAUUUUAAUUCACAAAAGUAAAACAAAUGAAAAGUUUCCUCUAACUUAAAAAAAAACACUUUUAAAAAUCAGUUAUUAUAAUUUUGUUACUGUAUACUGUUAUCGUUUUGUUAUUAUUAUAAUUUUUUGGUUUGUUUGUUUUUGUUUUGUGUUUUUUCCAAUGACUGCUUUGGCUAUGUGCACUUAAGAUUUGUUCUAUUUUUUUAAAACUGCCGCUAAUAAAAUUUUGAUUGUUUAUGCA